This is a long non-coding RNA of Motacilla alba alba, 14573 nucleotides long. RefSeq lists it as uncharacterized. The record is from RefSeq and is a predicted model, not a curated record. NCBI's taxonomy places the organism in Eukaryota, Metazoa, Chordata, Aves, Passeriformes, Motacillidae. The transcript has 3 exons.
CUCUUCCUGACUGAGGCCUCAGCUCCACUUCCACAAAUUCCUAUGCCAUAACAAUUUACUCCUGUAAUUACCCCAGCCUCUCAUCUAACCUUUUUUUUUGUGCUAAGCAGAACCAAAGGGAAAUGGUGGCAUUACAGACAGCUCUUAGGCAAAGCAGGCAGGAGCCUAAAGCAGCAGGCUCCUGGGCAGAGUGGAACCGCUCCAGCCCCCACCCGCUCUGCCUCUGCUACAGCCUGGGGCAGUGAUGCUGCAGCUGCUCCCCAUGUGCAGUCAGGGGUUCAGGUCCAUGAAGCAGCAGAACCUUAACCUGUUGGUGAAAGGUGAUAGAGAGGCACCCACCCAGGAACAGAACCCUCUUUCAUUGUUCCUUCCUUUCUCCUAGAUGUUGUUCUAUCUCUGUGAUGGCAGCAGCUACAGCUCCAUCCUCUACACCUUCACCCUAAGUGCAAGAAAUGUUCUGACUAGGGAUGCUCUUACCUUGCAGGAAAGCCUGCCUGUGAUUUCUGUGGCUGUUACUAUGUGCAAGCUUUUUAUUUUGAAUGAAUAGUAAACAUAUGAAUUCAUUUUGUUAUCUCAUUCUUGAAUAUCUUAUUUAUAAUAUCCUGUGCACUUCAUCACAGAAAGCCCUGGAUGUUAAGAAUCAGGCUGACUCUCUACAGAGGUAUAAGGCUACUGUAGAAAUUUAACUGUCCAUGUUAUCUGCAAGGACUCAGAAACCUGGAGACACCACAGUAAAUAAUACAGCUUAGCCACAGAAAGUAAAAGACAACAACAGACAACAACACUGAACUUCCAGUGCAUCUCUUUAUUUUUUUCCUGUCUCUAUUUUGUACAAGCAAAUCACAAGCAGUCUAAAAAACCAUUAUAUGAAUUGAGGACCAAAAAGGACAGCUGAUCACAGGUGGCCCUUGCACCAACCAACGGCCUCAGCAGUACCGUGCUGGAUAACAUACCUUCAUUAUCAUAAGGAUGUCACCUGCACCUUUGGGCAAAAUGGGCUAUUUAAAGAGUAAAGAACAAUCACUCCAUGAUUAUAAAAGUGACUUGGUAUUAGUCAGGAAAUUGCAGUUCCAUUUUAAAUUCAGUAACCUCCAUGCUCUGAUCUGAGAUGCUCAAAAUGUCACCUUAUGCUUCAUGCAUAUUCCAACCCCUUUAACUUGAAGGACCAGAUCCUCAGCUGCUACAAGCUUCUCCUGUGCACAGCCGUGCGGGGCAGAGCUCACACUACCCAUGGGAAGCAGCAUUCCUCCCAAGCCGCCUCCGGCAGCCAGCUGGCAGCUCCCCCUGGCACUGCUCCAUCAGCGCCACCAUUCCCGCACUGAACGCAAGCUGGGGCACGGGACAGGCCUCCCGAGUUGAACCGGAGUGAUCUUGUCUGGCAAGUGGCUCGCAGGGAAGCAGAGCUGGGGACUACUCUGACUUGUUCUGCCUGGGUCUAGUCGGGCCUUCAGUAAUCUUCAGAUGCCAGGCAGGAGGAUGCUGAAUGCCCCCCAUGACUCCCCUUUCUCACAUUUUGCGUGAGUGCUGUUCUGACUUACCUUUGUGGCAAUGAAGCGUGAACUACAAGGGCUGGAUUCUCCAAAGCCUUGUAUUUUGCAUAGGUAUGUAUGUCAGAGAAACACGAGUGAUGAGAAGAUAUAAAAGCUACCCAAUCAAUGAGGAAGCCUUUUAUAUCACAGUGCAGAGAUGCAAAUGAUCUGCAAGGCAGCCAGGAAUCAGGCUUCAAUAUAAUAAUAUAGAUAUGAAGAAUAUAAAAUUAGAUACACAGAGCAAAAACUUUUGGCAGAGGCCCUGCAAUGAUUAGCUUCUCUCUUCCCAAUUUCUGCGUGUGUGUUUUUUGCUUUCCAGGAAUGGACUACAUAAGGCAGAGGAAUAACACGACACAGAACUGAUGAGGAUUUCUGUUGAACAACUGUUUUUUGUCAGACCCCAUUUUAUUAGAAUCACGUUGUUUAAAUGCCAUACUGAAAAAAUAAAUUGACACUGGUUAUUCGACUUCAUUACAUCCAGUGCUGACUUUAUGUAUCAGAAAAAUAGGCACCUGAACUUACACCACGAUUCUGUCUCCUAUGCACACACAUGUAGAAUCACAGAAGGGCCUGGGCUGGAACUUUAAAGAUCACCUAAUUCCUCUACCCUACCAUAAGAAGAGACAUCUUUCCACUUGACAAGAUUUUUCAAAAAAAACUUGGCUUUGAAUGGAUGUGGCAUCCACACUGUCUCUGGACAACCCAUUUCUGUGCCUCACCAUCCCCAUCAUAAAAAUUUCUUUCAUUUGUCCAAUCUAAAUCUACCCUCUUUUAGUUUAAAACCAUGAAACGUAUUCCUCUUACACAUGGAAUUAUCUGGCUUUAAACCUUAUGCAUCUAAAUCUAGCCUCUCUUGGCACUUUAUGCUCUGUAUGCACAUUUUUUUACAAUGAAUAAAAGUAUAAUUGCAUAAUAAGUAAAAUAAUAUUGACAUUAUGCGUUUCCACAUUUUCUGAAGGUUCUAAAAUCUUUCUGAAAUCAAAGUGCAUACAAGAGGCAAACCAUCCAAGCAGAACACAGCUUACCAGCAAACUGUGCUAGCAGAGCAGAGCACAUGAGGUGCCUGUGACGGUGGGACUUUUUGCUGCUUUGAGGACACAGGACAUCAGUGCUUCACAGCCAGGCAGGUAGACUCUUCAGCAGAGAAACUCUGCCUUCUAACUAGGCAACCAGCCAGCUCCCAGCUCCCAGUGCACAUGUGGGUGCUGGUCAGUCAGCUAGAGAGAUAAGGAGGCACUGGAGCUCAAUGCCCAGGGAUACAUCCUAAUAAAUACUGCCCAGCCAGCUUGGGCCAUGCCAGACAGCAUUUGCUGAGGUAUGGCAAGCCUGUACACAGUCAGCAGCUAGGAAAAGUGGAGCAAGGACUUGGUGGGAAGAAGUUCAGUGGGAAAGCACAGCAUGCCUGGCAUCAGUAGCUUGGAGGAGGUCAUGCUCACUCCCUUGUUUCAGUGGGCUCGCUGUAGACCACUCUUCCUACCACAGAAAACAGUGGCAUGCCCCAGAGGAUGCCCCUCCAUAGCAUUUUGCUGAGUCAAUGCUGAUAAAACAGGGCAAUGCACAACUCACUAACUGAAAAGUGCAGGAAGAGUUAAGGCAGGCAGAGUUUGAUUCGCUGCUUUGAAAUCUCUCCAAGAGAUCACCAAUAAACAAAACAUUCUUCUUCCUUUAAAAAUAACAUUUUAUGGAUUCUAUACUGAUGAAUAAAGGGUCAGGCUAAAGCAGGUUCUGCAUUUGUGUCCAAAUAUUUUUUUUAGCAGAAGUUCUUACUUCUGGCUUAAGAUUUUUUGCAAUAUAAGCUACAGGUUUGACUUACUACUACAAAAAUUCGGGAGGAGAAAAGAAAGGGAUUGUUUUGAAUUUUUGCAAGAAGAAAAUAAGUAGGUAUUCCAUUCUGGAGGGAGUGCCUUGAGGUUUGCUGAUUUUUUUUUCUUCCUCUUCUUUUUUUUCUUUUUUCCCUUUCUUCCACCAGAAGCUGAUUAGCUGAUUUUGCCACUUAUCUCCAUGGUGCUGUCUCCAGCAGCAGUCUCCCUAUGGAAUGUAUUUUCAAAAAGUAAUGAGAAGCCAAAUUUCAAACUGAAGCCUGCAGUGGCUAAUUAGGUGUUUUAUAUAUGGACUCAGCUGCUAUCCCAGUUUGAAAACUGAAAUAAUGUUUAGCACAUCUCUUGGCAUUCUUACUUGUUUCUCCUCAGGCUGGCUUUAGUUGGCCUGUUUUCUACAGUGGUCUCCCACUUAAGUCAGAUGAUCCCAUGUUUAGUAAAGAGCAUUAAGUGAGGUCAGAGUACCCACUGAGCAACAGGGGAAGCUGUGCUGCUCAGCACAGAUCACUCCCUUCACCCUCCCGUGCACCAGGCUCUCUUGCUGCUCUCAGCUUUGCCACCCUCACUGAGGGCUCCUUUCGCAUUGUGCACACACCUAACACACAUCAUGGACUCACUGACAGCACCCUGUACCCAAAAGCUCAGAGGACCUGUGACCAUCCUGAUGGCACACAGAUCAGCUUAACCCAGCCAGUGCUAGCACGGAAGCUUUCCUGGUGUGAACCUUUCCCAAUUGUCUUGCACUUCAUUCUCCUUUCACCCAUCACCGCUCCCCAAUUCCCAGGGUGUUAAUUUACCUGGAGGGCAGAGUGCACCAAGAUCAAACUGCAGAGAGCCCAGCUGCUGUGUGCUCCAUUAAAAGACAAGUGAUGCAAAACGUGGCUGACAUGCUGGGCUUUUUAAUGAAGGCCACACAAAAUUUCAAUAUAUGCCUCAGGAUGAAUCAGGGAAUUAAGCAAAACAUAGGCUUGCUGUAUUAAAAUGACUAAAGCUUCCUAAUGAUUUAUGUAUUAGUCUUGCAAUACAUCAUCACCAUUGCUUAGUCAAGACUAUAAAAGUCUAUUAUUAAACACUCAUGAAGCUUUCACAGUCUUAAAUUUUCUUUCUUCAGGGAAUGCAGCACAAGAUUUUUCAAGUUUUGAUAGAUUUUGCAGCUUAUUUUGAAGCAGCUAGAGAGAUAUAUUGGAAAAUAAACAUGUCUUUACUGUUAUCAUAAACAGUUUUUUUCUUUUCUUUUAUGAAAAAGCUUGAGUCCUAAAUGUUUAUUAGAUUAAAGCAGGCUGCCUGGCAAUACUACAUAUAUUUAUCCUGUGAACACAUUUUCUGAGUCUCAUUAAUUGUGAUUUUUCUCUCAAUAAAAAUGAACCAACCAAAUAAACAAACAAAAGAAACACAAACACACAAAAAAACCCCAAAAACAUCAAAAAACCCAAAACCACCAAACAGAAAUACAGACAAGGAGAAAAGACCAAGCUGGAGAAACAAGAAUAAAUAUAUCACAAAUGACAACCAGUAUUUUACAAAUUGAAAGAAAGAAGCAUAUACAUUAGUAAAACAAAUCUCAAAUCUAAGGUAUUAACUUAUCUACUUUUGAGAUGUUGCUGCAGUUAUGUUUUAUACAGCAGCUAUCCUAUAGGUUAUUGCACAGUCACUCAUCUCAUGUAUGACUGGGCAUUUUGUGUGCUCCUGAGCAAUUCCUCAUGUACCUCUUCGUGUACAUUUCUUCAAUAUAUGUGAUGUAUAACCUUAAAAAAUCAAUUGUGACAGUAUACAUGUAACAGUUAAGGUGGCUGAAGCAUAAACCUUGAGUGAAGAAGGAAUGAAGUGUUAGGGACUCCUGAAGAGCUCUCAUGACCCUGUGAUGAACUUGUUUGAAAGGAAGGCUACCAGAACAAUACAUGAAAUUAGUGGUUCUACACGAGGUAAAAAGGAAAUCCUUCAUGUCCUAAUUUGUGGCAUGGGGGUUACUUAAGCAGUCAUAGGCCAGUGGCAGAGCAAUCCAUCUUGCCUUUCAUUCCUCUUCCUGCAGCGAGUUCUUCAGUUCAACAUGUUGUUCACACACAGCUCCGGACAAAUCCAGGCUUUGUCUGGCAUCUUUCAAGUGUAGAAAAAUAACAUUUUUCUUCCUAAAAUUAGAAUAUAAGGGUAAAAGCCCAGAGCUGGGAAAUGCUCUCUCUCUAAUUGGUAAAAUGUUGGUAAUGGUCUCACUAACUGAUAUCUCAGCAGAUCAGUGACUCCUGCCUUGUGCUUAACCCUCAGUGCAGUAGAAGCCACAAGCUGGAAGCUGGGUGGUGUUUUGGUUUUUGUUUCUUCUUUAAAGCCAUGCUUCCCAGCUUCCAACACUUCACUGUAUAAAUACAUAGCAUUCAGUGACUAAUAGCCUUUAGGAAAAGCAGAGGGAACAAAAAUUAACUUACUGUCUCUUGAGGACUACAUUUAGUAAAGAAACAUAGAAUGUCUUUACUUUAAAAUCAUUUAUGAAAAGCAAAAUAAGCCAGGGCUUGUCAUCCAGGGUGUUACUGUCAUCCAGAUGGAAUCAGAGCAUCAUUUUUCAUUUGGCUGAUCCCUAUUCCUAAUGGCAGGAGGUGAGAUGCCGAGAGCUAUUCUGAUCUACUGAGAUUGGCUGUGUGCAGCUCAGUUGCUGUGUGCUCAGCAUAGCUCUCAAAUGCAUAUAACAUGAGCUCAAAGGCUGGUCUUCUCAAAGUCUCACCAGAAUUAGUACUUUUAAAGAAGUCAAAUUUUUCUGUUUGUGUACAGUUAGUGUUAAUUUCAAAUGUUUUGGAAUAUUUUAAAUAUCAAUGUCAAAUUCAAGUUAUAAUUACUGUACCUCCAUUCUUCCAGGAAAUAUAUGUCAUUAUUUAGAAUGAUAGAAAUUGUCAGUUUUCUACAGUCAGGGCAUUUGAUGCAGUGUAAAGUACAUGCUAACAGUUGAAGUGGUAUUUGACCAUAAUAGUAUCCCUUCAUUCAAUUAAAAAUCUCCAUUAAACAAAUGAAUGAGUAAAUACAUAAAAGGAAGCAAGGGUUUGCAUUGCAUUACCCAAGAAAAAGAUCACGGCUUCAAGACCUACAUUCUGUGUCUUCAUGACCCUUUUUGGGGGAUGUAGAAACAACAAGGACACGUAUCUUUUCAUAUUAUCUCUUGGGUAAUCUGGAUCUCAGGUUACUGAAGAUUGUCACACAUCUUGGAAGAUCAUCUGUAGGAUUAUAAAUGGGGGGAGGUACUCUCAACCCACUUGUGGAGAGCUUCCUAUCUACCACUCCUGCAAUAGAGCUUUUAAGUUGAAGGAAGUAAUGGGGGAGUUUUAUGGUUUCUUUGCUUCCACCAGAAUGCACAUAAGACCACAAAAUCCCCAGCAAUAACUUGAAUAAUCCAAGAUAUUCUUAAGAAGCAUCUUGAAACUGGCGUAGACUUUUGCAGAUUAGCUGCAAGUUCUGAGCUUUUCAUUCUGGGACUCAAAAGGGCCUGUAAGGUCUGAAUAAGCAUAAUGAGGUGCUGCCAUUUCAGAUCCAGCACUGUGCACCUACUGUGGUUGGCAGAUUUACAGUAGGCUAUGUUGGUGUAUGUGCAAAGAUAAUUUAAUGUUUAAUUGUAGUGGGCUCAACCCACUGCACACCCUUGGAUUUAAGGAGGAGCUGAAUGUGUUCUGCGAGAGCAAAUAUUAACCACAUUGAAGGACUGGUCUGUCUUACCAGAGGAAAUGUGCCAGCAAAAUCAUUUUUCCUUUGAGAUAUCUAUAACUACUGUGCAGAAAAUCCUAUGCCAUCCAUCUUUGUUUACAGAAAUAACAAAAAAUUAGCAAGUCUGGCACAACAUACUUUUGAAAAUCAGUUUCUGCUUGUUGUAACAAUUUAACAACUUCUGCUUUUUAGAAGAUGUAAUGAGAAUAUGAACAUCUCGGUUUCAAUGUGAGUGAUAAAAGUGACUAACUCCCAGUAUAUGAGUUAAGACAAGAAACAAACUCAUAAAAAAGACAGCUAUUUCUUAAAAGCCAUCACAAGAAGCCUUCUCCUCAGAUGGAAGAUCUUCCUAGGUUCAAGAAGAAAUAGAGCUGAAUGCCAGCAGGUACCAGAGGAAUUAAAAUGUGGAAGUAUUCUGCAUCCACGAAAUGACUCACAGUCCAGACACAGCAUAAAAGACUUUUGUUCUUCUGAGACUGUACAUCAACAGCAUCACUCAUCCACUGUCAGAAAUCAGGUGCGAUUUCAAUAAGAUUUAAAUAUGAAAGGGGCCUGUGAAGAGGGAGGUUCUUAUCUGAGAACACAAAAAUGCCAACUUGAGCAAAACACAAAAACCAAUAAGAAAGGACUAAGAUACAAGCAGUCCACAGCCAGCAUUGCAAAAUGGUUAUUUCUUAGCGCCGUAAAGGACAGUGUCAGCAACCACUCUCUGUACCAUUUGGCCUUAGAGCUGAGUUUUGGGGUUUGCUUUAUAAAUUUCCCAACACCGUGUGACCCUGGAAUACUGUAAACAGAGAUAUGUAAUAGAAAACCAAGCAUUUCAUAAGAAGGGGCAUGGCAUGGCCUGGGACCAGAAUGCUUAAGACCUCUUACACUUGCAGACAUGCCAGAACCUAGUGAAAUCUGGCAGGUUUAGCUUUCCAGGAAAUGACGAGAAGUUUCAUGUCCUGAAAAACCAGCACAGUCACAGAGCUGCCCUGCCCCAGCCCGCACUGAAAAAAGAAAUUGCUGGUUUGAAAGAUUGAUUGAUUGAUUGAUUUUUUUGUGGCAAUUCAGGCACUGAACAUGCCCACUACUCCUUUAACAUCACUGUUAAAAGCUCUUGAGCUUCCCCUAAAGCUAUUGUGAGCCACAGUGCUCCUCAGUUUCUGUCCCUCUUGAGAAGCUGAGAUUUUGCUGUUUACAGCCCCUCUCCACUUCUCAUGGCGAGAAAGGCUGGGCUACCACAGCACCCAACACGUAAUGAGAAAAGAAGAAAUGGAGCAACAAAGCUACAACUGUAUCAGACAUUCUGGCAGUAUUAAAAUUCCUGGGGGAUGAAAUAUUUUAUGUUUACAGAGAUUCAUUUUACUUAGAAAGCACAGUUUUCACAACACAUUUUUAUCAAGAGCUUGAUUUAAUCAAAAGACCAAUUUUUCUUCACAGGUGUGGGUUUCAACUGCUUGGUCUGCUUUUGAACAGAUAAAGUUCUCCUUCUCUAAACAAAGAGGUUUAGGAUGAGGACUGGGGAAAAGGUUAAGAGUUAACAAAUCACAGAGGCAGAAAUCUGCCUUCAGCUCCUUGCACAAUACCUCAUAAUCCUUAAUGCUUGUGGCAAGACAUGGAAUGUAUGGCUAUGAAGAACCAGGAGCAAAACAGGGCUGAACCUGGAGGGGGUUUCUGGAAGGACUGUGAGUCCAUUUGUGAAAAGUGUUUUCAAGAGGUGGGAGCUGGGCGAUCCCAACAACAUUUCCUCCAUCAAAGCUCUGAGCAGUGGAGACAAGACCAGGCUAAGCAGCAGACCUGCUCUCCCAGACAGCUUUCUCCUGAGUCCUGGCUGGAGUUGAAAGCUCUGUAUGGAAAACGCCAAUAGGGAUUCACCUGUGGCUUUAUGCUGUUUAAUGGAGCAACUGGAGAAGCAGUGGGAUGGGAAGAAACUCAAGAAGACCACAAAGAAAACAAAAACUGUGGGUGGAACACAGCAUACCUGCAAAUGGAGAACUUAAGACUGAACAUGAGUGAUGCUGACUGGUGGCACAGUGAAAGAAACACAACACAAAUUACAUGAUGAGGCUCCACAAAAGCUUUGAUUAGCAUCUCCCUUACUGCUGAAACUGUAUAAUCACAUCUGUAACAGUGGCUGGGACUGAGAACUGCCAUGAAGGUUAUGGACAGAUGCAAAUGAGAACAAGCACAGCUGUGACUUUUUCUUGUUUUCUGGGAAGAAGGAAAGGAUGGGAAUGGCUUGGGGAUGGAACAAACCCCACGCUCCCAGAAUAAGUCUCAGCCUGCUACAGUGCAGGUUCCAGCACAGACAGAGCUCAGCAUGAGCUGUUGGAGGGCACAUGGAAACAUUGCUGCAUCUCUGAGCACCAGGCCUAGUACAAGGAAAUUAUUUGCAUAUCUCUGAGGCCAUCCUGCCCUCCAAAGCUCUGACACUUGGAAAAGGUGAAAGGAAGCAAUUUGCCAGAGUUCUGUUUGCAGCAACACCGGUAAAAUACAAGCCCAAGAAAGGCAGCCAAUAUAAAAGAGCCCCGGCACAGCAAGGCUGAUCUGCAUGCCAAAUGCUGUUUCUGCAUCUGCUGGGAUUGCUGCAGGACUCGAUACAGGACCUCUCCAUGCACAGACACACUUCUGUUGGUUGAGUCAGAUGGAGGGAUGGAGAAAUUUGUCCUGUGUAUGAGACGGAAGUGUAUUAGACAGCUGCUACAGCCGUUCAGCUUUGCAUCAUGAACAGCAGGCAAACCCAGGGAGGCUGCCAUCGCUCACGUUAGCCCCCAGGAUGUCUGUGCCACUGCAACUUCACCCUCGACCUCCGGAGAGGCACAGGAUUUCAAGAACACAUAGAACCUUUGCCCUCCACCCCAAUUAGUCUCCACCAUCUGUGCUGUACAUCCUGGAAGCAAAAAAACUAGAUCUGAGCUCGGGUCAGGAGACAAAAAAAAUUUCAUUUACACAAUGUACAGCUGUAAAGAUACACGCUCCCCAGUAUUCUUUUGCUCAUUCUUCAAGAGCAUCCCCUGAGUAGAAAUUCUGGUCAAGUCCUUGAGCAGGCACAAUCACCUCUGCCUGCAUCUGAUGCUAUUACAAUUCCCUUUCUGACUUCAAGAGCUGCUCAAAUAAUGUUAAGCCAAAACACCUUUCAAAGACUUUUUCUGUUUUUUUUAAAGGCCCCCAUCUUUCAGGUAGUUCAUAUCAAGGCUGUCAAAAAAAUCUUGCCCUGUAGUCUGAGGGCAGUUUCUCUCAUGUGGGGAAAAGCCAUCUUUAAUUUAAUAAAAGUGAGCAUACAAAGGAAUACCCAACAGGCAACUGAACCAGUCUCCUUCCUUAACAAAAGGGAAAACCUUGUAAGUGUAGCAGCAAGCUCUCUUUCUUAAAUUAUUAACUACCUAACAUUCAGUAGAUACUAAAAGUGGCAUGCUAUUGAUUUUCUCUUGUCCAGAAACAUUAUCAGCUUUACUUAAGGGUCCCAAAUGUUAACUCAAAAAUAAAAGCUGGUUCUAGUUUUAAUUCUUUGAAUUAAUCCAAUACUACUGGAAACAUUUAAAAAUGCGUUAUCUUUUCAUUGUGAACGAAGAAUGACUGUGCUUUUUCUUCCAAUAUGGAAUCCAAACAACUCAGUAUCUUUCUGGUUUUAAUUAUCAGUAGUCUGCCUUAUAACUUUUUCAGAGUGUAUGUGAAAUUUGAAGUGGCAGCACACAAACCAUUAAUGCCAAGCACCUGAUAUAACUGUAUAUGUUCUGAUAUAACUGUAUAUGUUUUUCCCCUUGAUUUAGCUGGAUUGUCUCCAGAAGAUUCAGUUUUAAAAUACCACUGAUAGCAUCAUGACAUAAGAAAAUUAAUUAAUAAGUAAACUGAACACAAGCUUCUAUUUUGUAAUUGAUUAGCUGUUGCUGAAAUAGUCUGGCAAAAGACUGAUAGUAUGGGAAUAAAAAACUGACUAAACAAAACAUGAAUGUGUGAUUUUGCAGAGGUAAUAAUAAAUUACAAUAAGGAAAAUAUUUUUCUGCAAAACUAUGCUGAACAACUGUUCUUAUAGAUAUAGCAAUGCAUUCCAGUGUGCUGCAGUUCUGUAUUUAUUGUAAUAUGUUUGAAUUAUAAACAAUUUUACUUAGCUUUAAUGAAUAACAAAAAAUAUAUUCUUUUUAAAUUCUGUGACUAGGCAAUCAAUUAUCGUGUUUCUCACUCAAAGAAUGAAUACACUUCAAGAGAGCUGUCUUUGUAAGCAGGAAUUUAUGAUGAUUUUCUAUAAAAGUUUGUAAUGAAACUCUUGGUUUCUGAUCCAUCUUAUGUAAUUUAAGGAACAAAAUGGAUCUGACACUGCAUGCAGCAUAACAAAAAUUUUUUAUGAUAGUUAUAAAUAUUAUAGGCCAGACGAACCCCAUUUUUAUUGAAUUAUACAGGAGAAUUUGCACUAUGCCUGCUUGUGCUGCAGAUGAUGACAAAUAUUGCUCUAACUCCCAUACCUCCCACUGCCAAGACGUCCUCCAUCUCCAUUAUAAAAUGUGUUUUAAGAGCUGUAAAAAUACAAGUAUUUCACUCAUCUGGAUUUAUUUACAGUGAGCUGCUUGGAGGUUUUUAAAGUCAGUUCUCUCAAACUCACUACAAAAGAAAAAUUCAAAAUCUCUUUUUCACAUACAGAACAAAAUGUCUGCCUUCCCAGCUAGGCUCACAGAAGAGGGUUUGGAGGCAGAUCCCCCUCACACAAGUUUUUUUAUCUCCAGACAGCCUAAGGCUGGGCAGAUAAAGCAGUAGGUCAGCCACAAACACACAUAACACCUUCACAGCAGGAGGGGAACCUUUAUAAUCACAUUCACCCAAUUCUUGCUAUUUACAAGGAAGAGAUACAUACUGUACCAAAAAUGUUCCCAGGGGGAAAAAUUAGGAGACAGUUACUUCCAGUAAAAGCACAAAGCCCUUCCUCCAUACAGGCUUUGCACUGUUUUAGCUGUUGCUUUUAGCAGCAUUUCCAAUCCCACCAGUGCAGCCACUUCACAGAACACCAAAACUGCUCUGUUCUGCACACCCAUGCAACAAAACACCUCUGGGUGUAUCCACGUGUAAAACAGCAUGGCCCACUUCUCCCCUGAACAGGAGAACCAUAGAGCAGCAUGCCCUGGCUAGGCUGUCUGUACCAGAUUGCUUGUUCCACCUUGUUCCAUUGGGCUGUGCAAUCCCAGAGCAUGCCUGCCCUGUGAGUCUCUCCUGGCUAGUGAACAACGAGAACAUGCAAUGCCUUACUGUAAGAAUUGCCCCCAGAAAUGUAAGAAUUGCCCCCAGAAGUGCUUACUGGAGGCACAGCUGUGCCCACAUGACUGCUUCUUACAGAUACUGCUUCUUCCUGCCUCGUCUGGGCUGAAGAGCAGUAAAUUUACAGCACUGCUCUAAAAGCUGUGACACAGCUGCUUACUAAGCCACAUCCCAGCUCAGAGUCCAGCGCUACAGGUAGGCCACAUGCCUCUUGGUAUCCCAGGAAUAUGUUCUGAGUCUCAACAGGACCACACACAGAAGCCAGAUUAACAGUGCAUGAGAACUGAAAAGAUAAAAAUCCUAACAGUUUAGAAGAAAAACACAAAAACAUGGAUGACACUUGGUGCAGCUUUCAAAUGUUAUUAUCUUAUUCCGUCUCCCCAGAGGGAGCUUAGACUCUUGCAUUUCCUAAUGUCUUUUGGAGUUUUUAUAAGUGUGUAUACAAUUUUCCAAAGCCAAAUGGGAGGAAAAUGAAGCAAAGCAAGAACUUUUACCCCAGGGCAUAACAAUGACACCUGGAUGACACCUGGAUACCACACCAAUGCAUUUGGCCACUGGGGAGAUGCAAAGUCACUGGUAUCAGUGCUGGAACAAUGCCCUGUUCAUGGACCUUUCCUGGAAGGUACCUGCCACUGUGAAAACAGGUUUGAUAAAGGAAAGGGACCAAGCCCGGGGUUGUGGAGAAGAACCAUCUCCAGAGGAUUAGGUCUCUCCUGCUUCAUCCCAGGACAACUUCUCCACAGGAGUUUGCCUGAGCCUCUGCUCCAGCACUGAACAAGCCCAUGAGCUCUCACCUCCAGCUCCCUACUCCUCAGAUGCUCUGCACCACCCAUUGCCUUUUUUGAUUACCUCUCCUGACAGCUUCCCCAGUUCCCUGUGCCAGGCAAAAUGCAUGGCCAUGAUGAACCAAUGACAGUGUUCUGCUUCCCAGCCUCCCCUCCUCCCUUACCACCACAAUCCAGUGAUCCCAUGCUGAUCUUAUCAAGGAACUGCAUGUGCUCAGGAAGGAGGGGAGAGGCUCAGCUCCAGAAAUGCAUAUCAACUCCACCUACCUCUCUGCUUCCCUGCAAAUGGUAAGUUCCUUCUCCCUAUUCUCUUACCCAGCCACUGUAGCUCCUUUGUCUCUCAGUCCCACAUUACUCUGCACCCUGCAAGCAUCUACCUGUCACACACCUGGCUCACCCUACCCUUGCUGCUGAGGCUUGUUUCCUCCUGGAGCCAUGAUCGGUGCCUUUGAGGCUCCUCCCAGCUUUUCCACCCCUGCUUCAGUAUCAACCAGAUGUGACUAAGUUACAAGUGUCCACCCCAUCUAAGUGGGUGAUCAAGCAGGAGAGAGGUUCCAACUCCUCCACCAGGAGCGGUAAUUCUCAUCUCUGUUAAACACCAGUAAACUUGCAAGUAAGAGAUCAGUCACGAAUGGCUUUGUAGAGAAAAAAUUCAAUCACUUAGUACCCAAUACAGACUCCAGUCCUCAAGGUUAAGGACUCAAUCCUUGUGAAUUAUAUGGUGUCUAAGCAUUUCCAACCUCUGACUGAGACAUCUCCUACAGUUCAGACAUGCCUAAUGAUUCUCUUCAUCCUCACUACCCACCCAAGCUCUUCCUCAAUACUUGCUCUCUUACUAAUUUUCUGAUAUUUAACAAGAAUAUAUGCUAUGUUCUUAGUUCAAUUCUCUAUAAAAGACUUUUAAUCAGAAAAUUCAAAUGUUUUGCAAUCAAGGUUUCUGUCAUCCUGAUGGUUCCCAGCUAAGUGACCUGUUCCUCCCACCCAUCAACUCUUCACAGUCUAUUUUUCAUGGGACAGAAACUUGUCACAGGGAUCAUGGAAGACUGAGGCCACCAGUCUGGACAGUGAAGAGACUGGAGGAGCCUGAAAUGAGACCCAGUGCCCAUCUCCACCAAGCUCAGAGACAGCCAGGAAGAGUAGAUGGGAUGCUGGUGCCCAGUCUCAGUGCUGGUGCACUUGCCUGCACGCAGCACCUCCCACCACAGCUCAGGGUUGUGAUUUGGGCAGAAAGACCUGCUCAGGCUCAACCUGGGACAUGCUUGGUAUAGGCAAAAUACUCAGAGAGGAACACAUGAAAGGUGGCUCACAAAGUGCAGUGCAGGCUUCUGCCUUGACCCAUCAGGGGAAUAUUCCAUAUGUAGCAAAAGAUGCAGCCACUACUGACACAAAGGCAAGAUCUUGUCUGCAUUCAAUUCCACACUGUGAUAACACCACAGCCUUUAUGAAAAGCCUUGCCAUCAUUUCUGACAUUAAAAAAAAACUCCUAAAUAAAAACUAAAAAACUAAGAUGUUUGCCUUAUCAUUCCUGGAAAUAG